UACGAACCGUCCAAACGUUAUUCGGAAUCAUUGGGCUUAAAGGGUGCGUAGGCGGCGUGGCAAGUUGGGUGUGAAAUCCCUCGGCUCAACCGAGGAACUGCGCCCAAAACUGCCAUGCUCGAGGGAGACAGAGGUAAGCGGAACUGAUGGUGGAGCGGUGAAAUGCGUUGAUAUCAUCAGGAACACCAGUGGCGAAAGCGGCUUACUGGGUCUCUUCUGACGCUGAGGCACGAAAGCUAGGGUAGCGAACGGGAUUAGAUACCCCUGUA
This 269-nucleotide ribosomal RNA is filed under the name uncultured prokaryote. Its description in RNAcentral is "partial 16S ribosomal RNA". It matches the Rfam family "Bacterial small subunit ribosomal RNA", at positions 524 to 792 of the family's 1533-position model. The record is from RNAcentral.